RNAcentral lists this long non-coding RNA (249 nucleotides) under Elaeis guineensis (African oil palm). RNAcentral describes it as "long non-coding RNA (EGUI_LNC061845)". The record is from RNAcentral. Lineage: Eukaryota; Viridiplantae; Streptophyta; Magnoliopsida; Arecales; Arecaceae.
AUGAAUUAUACAGUAACCAUAUUCACGUAGGUUCUGAGUGUUGCGAUUGUGACUAUUUGACCUAUCCGGAUAUCAGGUACCAUUGCUAGAUGGUCACUUCGAUUAGUACAGGAAUUGGUUCUUGUGCUAUCGGCUUAGGUUCGAACCUGCGGGGUCACACACAUUAGAGGUUCCUAUCUGAUCUGAUAGCUGGUGAAGAGUCUUUCAUGUCUGGGAUUCUGUGAUCGAGAAUCAGGAUUCUCUGAUCAC